This 484-nucleotide ribosomal RNA is filed under the name uncultured bacterium. RNAcentral describes it as "partial 16S ribosomal RNA". It matches the Rfam family "Bacterial small subunit ribosomal RNA", at positions 29 to 507 of the family's 1533-position model. The record is from RNAcentral.
AGUGAACGCUGGCGGCAGGCCUAACACAUGCAAGUCGGGCGGCAGCGCGGGGGCAACCCUGGCGGCGAGCGGCGGACGGGUGAGGAAUUCGUCGGAAUCUGCCUUUUUGUGGGGGAUAACGUAGGGAAACUUACGCUAAUACCGCAUACGUCCUACGGGAGAAAGUGGGGGACCGCAAGGCCUCACGCAGAAAGAUGAGCCGACGACCGAUUAGCUAGUUGGUGGGGUAAAGGCCCACCAAGGCGACGAUCGGUAGCUGGUCUGAGAGGAUGAUCAGCCACACUGGGACUGAGACACGGCCCAGACUCCUACGGGAGGCAGCAGUGGGGAAUAUUGGACAAUGGGCGCAAGCCUGAUCCAGCCAUGCCGCGUGUGUGAAGAAGGCCUUCGGGUUGUAAAGCACUUUUGUCCGGAAAGAAAUCCCUGGAGCUAAUACCUUCGGGGGAUGACGGUACCGGAAGAAUAAGCACCGGCUAACUUCGUG